This 465-nucleotide ribosomal RNA is filed under the name uncultured bacterium. RNAcentral describes it as "partial 16S ribosomal RNA". It matches the Rfam family "Bacterial small subunit ribosomal RNA", at positions 338 to 795 of the family's 1533-position model. The record is from RNAcentral.
CCUACGGGAGGCAGCAGUAGGGAAUUUUCCACAAUGGGCGAAAGCCUGAUGGAGCAACGCCGCGUGGGUGAAGAAGGUCUUCGGAUCGUAAAACCCUGUUGUUAGAGAAGAAAGUGCGUGAGAGUAACUGUUCACGUUUCGACGGUAUCUAACCAGAAAGCCACGGCUAACUACGUGCCAGCAGCCGCGGUAAUACGUAGGUGGCAAGCGUUAUCCGGAGUUACUGGGCGUAAAGGGAACGCAGGCGGUCUUUUAAGUCUGAUGUGAAAUCCCUCGGCUUAACCGGGGUAGUGCAUCGGAAACUGGGAGACUUGAGUGCAGAAGAGGAGAGUGGAAUUCCAGGUGUAGCGGUGAAAUGCGUAGAUAUAUGGAAGAACACCAGUGGCGAAGGCGGCUCUCUGGACGGUAACUGACGCUGAGGUUCGAAAGCGUGGGUAGCAAACAGGAUUAGAUACCCGUGUAGUC